GAAUAUUGCACAAUGGGCGCAAGCCUGAUGCAGCAACGCCGCGUGAGGGACGACGGCCUUCGGGUUGUAAACCUCUUUUAGUAGGGAAGAAGCCGCAAGGUGACGGUACCUGCAGAAAAAGCACCGGCUAACUACGUGCCAGCAGCCGCGGUAAUACGUAGGGUGCAAGCGUUGUCCGGAAUUAUUGGGCGUAAAGAGCUCGUAGGCGGUUUGUCGCGUCUGCUGUGAAAACUGGAGGCUCAACCUCCAGCCUGCAGUGGGUACGGGCAGACUAGAGUGCGGUAGGGGAGAUUGGAAUUCCUGGUGUAGCGGUGGAAUGCGCAGAUAUCAGGAGGAACACCGAUGGCGAAGGCAGCUCUCUGGGCCGUAACUGACGCUGAGGAGCGAAAGCGUGGGGAGCGAACAG
Molecule: ribosomal RNA, 406 nt
Filed under: uncultured bacterium
Lineage: Bacteria
Description: bacterial SSU rRNA
Rfam family: Bacterial small subunit ribosomal RNA
Source: RNAcentral